UCAGACGAUGCGUCAUGCAUAUCAAUAAGCGGAGGAAAAGAAACUAACAAGGAUUCCCUUAGUAACGGCGAGUGAAGCGGGAAGAGCUCAAAUUUGAAAUCUUCAAGGUUUGACCUUGACGAAUUGUAGUUUAAAGAAGUGUUUUCGGUUAGAGAGUUUGGUAAAAGUUCUUUGGAAUAGGACAUCAUAGAGGGUGAGAAUCCCGUAUUUGACCAUUAUUUUCUAGCUUUGUGAUACACUUUCAAAGAGUCGGAUUGUUUGGGAAUGCAGUCCAAAAUGGGUGGUAAAUUUCAUCUAAAGCUAAAUAUUGGCGAGAGACCGAUAGCGAACAAGUACCGUGAGGGAAAGAUGAAAAGAACUUUGAAAAGAGAGUUAAACAGUACGUGAAAUUGUCAAAAGGGAAGCGUUUGACACCAGUGUUGUUUUCUCGAAAAUCAAUUAAAAAGAGUUGGAUUUUGUGUUGUAUUGACCUUAACAGCUUGCUUCACUCUUUUCCUGCUUUUUUUAAUGCACUUUUCGUUUAACAAGUCAACAUCAGUUUCUUUUGUUGUAAAAGGGUCAUUGGAAGGUGGCUUUCUCUUCGGAGAGAGUGUUUAUAGCCUUUGAUCUCUGCAAUCGGAGAGACUGAGGUCUGCAGCGUAGAUCCUUCGGGGUUAGAUACAUUCGUGCUAAGCUACAGCUUUUCAUAGACAACUUGUUGACUAUGUUUAGUCUUGUAACUUACCCGCUUAUGCUAUUUUACCUACGCUUAGGAUGUUGAUAUGCAUGACUGAUAU
RNAcentral lists this ribosomal RNA (776 nucleotides) under uncultured Neocallimastigales. RNAcentral's name for it is "partial large subunit ribosomal RNA". It matches the Rfam family "Eukaryotic large subunit ribosomal RNA", at positions 18 to 635 of the family's 3401-position model. The record is from RNAcentral. Lineage: Eukaryota; Fungi; Neocallimastigomycota; Neocallimastigomycetes; Neocallimastigales.